Molecule: ribosomal RNA, 253 nt
Filed under: uncultured bacterium
Lineage: Bacteria
Description: partial 16S ribosomal RNA
Rfam family: Bacterial small subunit ribosomal RNA
Source: RNAcentral
UACAGAGGGUGCAAGCGUUAUUCGGAAUUACUGGGCGUAAAGCGCGCGUAGGCGGAUUAUUAAGUCAGUUGUGAAAGCCCUGGGCUCAACCUAGGAACUGCAUCUGAUACUGGUAAUCUAGAGUUUAGGAGAGGGAAGUGGAAUUCCAGGUGUAGCAGUGAAAUGCGUAGAUAUCUGGAGGAACAUCAGUGGCGAAGGCGACUUCCUGGCCUAAAACUGACGCUGAGGUGCGAAAGCGUGGGUAGCGAACGGG